Clupea harengus (Atlantic herring) is the source of this 524-nucleotide long non-coding RNA. Lineage: Eukaryota; Metazoa; Chordata; Actinopteri; Clupeiformes; Clupeidae. The record is from Ensembl.
GAUCAUAUGGAAGAGAUGGAGGAGUGUGUGUGUGAUCAUAUGGAAGAGAUGGAGGAGUGUGUGUGUGUGUGAUCAUAUGGAAGAGAUGUAGGAGUGUGAAAAUGUAUUAGUCUUGUCUAAGGGUACAUAAGGCCAUUCUCUGUGUGUGUGUGUGUGUGGGGGGGGGGUGACUAACCAGAGACCAGGUAGCCUAUUGACUAGCUCCUCUCGUGCUGAUCGAUGCCUCCUGAAGGGAUCUAACUGACCAGUGAAAAACAGCAAGAGGGUCACAGCAAGGUCAGUUACACGAAGCUGAGAGUAAACAGCUGGGUGAGAAUGACCAAGUACUGACUGGAGAGGAAAACCUCAUCAAAACAUUGGAGUUCUUUUAACAAGAUGCAAACAUGAGUAUGAUGAUAGAUGAUGAAUCAUAAAGUGUAUAUAUACCUGGGUUGAUUGCUAUGACGGCUUGAGCGUCACUGAUAAUGCUUUCAAAUGUGUCGUGCAAACUGUCACACAUAUACUGUUAUACUGUUAGACACGAA